CGGUGAAUACGUUCCCGGACCUUGUACACACCGCCCGUCGAGCCAUGGGAGUCGGGGAGACCUGAAGCAGUAGGUUAAAGACACUGUUAGGGUAAAAUCGGCGACUGGGGCU
This 112-nucleotide ribosomal RNA is filed under the name uncultured bacterium. Its description in RNAcentral is "partial 16S ribosomal RNA". It matches the Rfam family "Bacterial small subunit ribosomal RNA", at positions 1360 to 1482 of the family's 1533-position model. The record is from RNAcentral.